UCCAGUGCCUCGCACGUGCUAGAUGAGCACUCUACUGCUGAGCCACAAUCCCAGCCCCUCCUGUUUGUUUUUAAUAGUUGCAUAAUUGCCCAUCAAGUGGGAGUAUGGCAAAAGUUUAUUUUAAAGAUUCCCUGUUGGUGGACAUUUGAAUUGUUUGUUCACAAGUUUACAUACUGCAAUGAAGAUCUUUUACAAGGCUUUCCCUGCAUUUUUGAGAAUAGUAGGAAGAGUAAAUGGUAUUUGGAUAAAAGAAUUAACAAAUUUUGAGGGUUUCUGUGCAUAGUUAACUAAAUGUCUUUCCAAGAAGACUGUAGGAGUUUAUGCAGAAUGUUAUCACUUAAGAUGUUGCCAGUGGGAUUGUACAGGCUGCAGAGUAGAGGGCUGGAACAGGCAUAGGAUCAUGUUGCCUCAUGAAGCAGAGUGGUGAACCACCUAAGUGAGCAAGGGGAUUGUAAGUAAUGAGCACUAGACAAAGAGGGAAUCUGCGUCCUUGCCCAGCUUAUCAGGUUCUCUCUCCCCAGAACCUGAUGGUUUUAACUGGUAGGUGAGGCUGGAAUUCCUCAACAGGUAGAGAUGCCAGCUAUGGAGAGGAGGAAGCAAAUCCAGUGAAUGACUUCCCCUCCGUGUUGCUGAGGCCAGGUGGGGAUGUUGAACUGAGCUGCUGUUGUCUCCCAGGGAAGGAAUCCCAUGAAGAGUAUGGGGGAAGAUUGCUACUUCUGUAAAAUUAGGGUUCUGAAAGGAUCUGCUAAACUCAGCUUCUGGUUACUGACCACCUGUGGCAUGCCUCAUGACAGACCGGUGCUGCCACCCUGUGGCAGACUUGAGCAUUACCAGGCCUGGGAUCGCUCCAGGGGGCUAAACCAGGAGCAAACUUGAUGCCUACAGGUCAAUCAGAGGACAAGUGAACAGUAGGCUAGUCUGGCUGGGAACUGGAAAGUACAGCCCUGCCUAGAGGGGGCAGUAGUGAUUCAGCUUUCAAUUUGUGCUGCUUGCACUGGCACUGAGAUUUUCCAUUUUUUUCCUCAAAAAUGCUGGAAAUUCAAUGGAGUUUUAAUUUUUUUAUUUGUGAAAACUUCUGUUUCGUUUUGUUUUUUUUUAAAUGUGACAGUUUGUUUUUAAAAAAAAUUAAGCAUGCUAACACACUUGCAGGGUUAAUUGGGCUAGGGGCUGCCAAUUAGUGAUCUUUCAAAAUGCCCUUCUCAGGAUGUAGCUUGUAGACUGCUUGCCUGGCAUGUGUGAGGCCCUGGGUUCCAUCCCCAGCAUUGGAACAACAACAACAAAAAGCCCCUCUGCUAAUGACAUGGCCUAAUUCAUUUUUUUAGUUGUCUAACAACUUGUAACAAAUAUCAGGUCCCAUAAUUGGUUUCCAUUGAACACUUUUGGGUCUCCUGCACAUGCGCAGUUUAAUAUCAACCUAAGCAAAACAUUUGAGGAAGGAAAGCCACAUAAAUGAUAGAAAAAGAUUUUCCCAGAGACAUUUUUAGAUUUUCAGAUAUUUUAAAACAACCCUGUCUCUGCUGGUAUGCCUCCUACCAGUGCCUUGCUAAGGAAGCGCUAUCUUUGGAAAUGCAAGUUGUUCCCUUCUUCAGGCUCACUUUGAUUGUGCCCCCUUUUAAAUAAUUUCAUUUCCUAGGGCAAAUCCUGGCGGAAUUUCUGCCUCCAGCAAGUCUAUUAAUAUUCUCAGCUAGAUCUUUCUUUCCCACGGACUGGCUGAGAUCUACUGCCGUAGUGGCUGUGCAUGCUCUCCUGCUUCUGUGCAGGUGACAUCAAGUAGCAGGGCUAAUGUAGAUGUAGGUAAAGACAAGUCAUGGUUGCUGGGGUGAAUCAGGGUAUGGACUGGUUUUCUUCCAUGUUUGCUGAUUCACCUUGAAAGCAUGUGACCCUCUCUUACUGGUCCCACAGUCACAGUUCAUUGAAACACAUUAUUAAGUGGCUGAGCUUGGAGCUCUUUGCUUGUCCUCUACUCCCCUAGGUUCUUUUUUUUUUUUUUUUAAUUAGCCCCGUGAUGGUGGUGGCUUUGGAGCAGGGUUAUCCUGUCUGAGCACGGCAGGAAUCACUUCUCUGCCCUCAGCGGCUCAGUGUCUGGUGCUUUUCCACUCUCGACCCUUUCCUGUGCCUGUUGCUGUGUUAGCAUGUCAGCUGGGUAGCUGCCAGGACAAACCUUCCAGAGAGCCCUUUGACUCUUGUCAGCUUCCCAAGGUCCUGGGCUGGUGGGACUGUUGGCCAAAUGAAACAGCAUGGAAUUAGUCCCACUGAAGUGUGGGUUGGGGGCAGUCAGCUGGGAUGAAGAGGCUCUGCCUUGCCUCGCUUUUCCUCAUCCAUGUUGGCGUGGGUCUCUACGUAUUUGUGGAGUGCUGAGCCAGGGCAGUGUGGUAGAAUGAGAGUAAAAUGGGUUUUGGAGAUUGGCAGAUUGAGUUAUGAACAAUGUUUCAACAACUAGAUCUUGGUCAAGUCACUGAAGCCUUUCUGAAGCUCAGUAUCCUCAUUUGAAAAACAUAAGACUUUUUGGAAGUGGUUUGAGGGAGGAUAAGGUAGUGUAUGUGAAGUUUUAGCACAGCCCAUAGCAACUAGUAGGCACUCAGUGAGUGUUAGCUGCUUUAAUUUUUAUUGCAGGGAAUGCCUAUAUUUCCUGCAGUUGUUACAUGUACGAUUGUGACCCUGGUGAGUGGGAGAAGAGAGCGAUCUCAGCUGGUGACCCCAAGGACCCUCACAGGCCUGGUGGUUGAGGGCUUCUUAGGAAUAGUUAUGGAAAGGACUGGCUUUCCUAAGAACCAAGCUGACCUGGGGGACUGCAGCCUUUAGACCUGGUUACUGAGUAGUACUCCACAGUGUGGUCUGCAAAGGCAAGAGGUGAGAAGUGGGGAGUAAGUCAUCCAGAGGUGUUCUGACCCAAGAGGUCAUGGAUCAGGAGAAUGGGAAGACAGAGCCUUGGACUUGAAGGCAAGAGAACUGGGAGGCUUGGGGAUGCUAUCCUUUCUCCUGGCCUUUGGUUUCCUAGCCUGCAAAAUGGGGUGCUAAAAUGUUCCCUGCUGGUAGCACAGGAAGAGAAGCCGAUUUGAGUACUUUGAAGACAUGCAAGGGCUGGACGUGCUGACCCAGUAAAACUUCUUUUAUCUAAGUGGGAUGGCAGCCAAUCUGAAC
This 3141-nucleotide long non-coding RNA is filed under the name Marmota monax (woodchuck). The record is from RNAcentral. Lineage: Eukaryota; Metazoa; Chordata; Mammalia; Rodentia; Sciuridae.